CUGCCUCCCUCUUAAGCCGCUUCUCCGCAAAGUACUCGCCAUAGCUCAUGAUCCAAAACCUCUCGAUCUCCUCUGCUUUCCUCCCUGUGACUCGACCGGCUAUCAGACCCCACCUGCAUAGCACCACAACGACUUGGGAGGUAUCCGAAGGUUAAACUGAACCCUCUUAACAUCAUAUAUCUGUCUACUGUCCUGUAACUUUCGUACAUUAACCUUAAAGAGUUGUCAGCAUCAUCGGUUUAUGUGCAUCCUCGCAUUGCUAUCUCUAUCAUGAUCAUCAUCAUCAUCGUAUUUCCUGAUGCUAAUUAUUAUUGAUGCCAUUAGCCAUAAAACUUUGAAUUCACCGAGAAGGAAGUUAUGAAACGGAGACAGAGAGCGGGGUAAGAAAUUGCUGCUAUUGUAGUAAAGUUUUUAAUGUUAGCAGGUCAGAUGGAUGGAUUGAAUCACCCACAGAAUCUGUCACUUGCACCUGUCUGUACAGGUGAAUUUAAGAUGCAUUUAAUGGGAUGAUGUGAUCUACUAUAGACCUGAUUGAUAGGACAUCAACGUAUCAAGUCCGUGCAGCUUCGCAGCCUUUCCCGUCCCUCUUUUUUGCUGCUUCACCUUUUCAAAUGAGAGCAGAGUUUCCAAGAAUCAUUUCAUGUUUCACCUUCUCUCACUUGGAAAAGGUGGAUUCUGGAACUCAAGCCCUCAGGAUCUAAAAGACACAUACUGUGAUCAUCAUAAAUAAUCUCUAUCGAUGCUUUUUUAUUCUUACUUUCGUUAUGACAAUUCCAAAGUUUAUUUGAUGGCUUUUACAAACAGAUGGCCUUAUACCAUGACUGCACUAUCAUGAUGAGAUUCCUGUUUGUUGAUGCAAGACAUGCAAGAAGAUGGCAUGCUUGGCAGUCCACUAGUAUGAUAUGAGUCUAUAAUCUUGUUUGCUAUGUUUUCCGAAAGAGAAAAUGACAUGAAUCUUAAAGCCAGAGAGGGAGAUGGUAAGGCUUGCCUGUCGCCAACAAGCCUGUACAUCCUGUGGAUGAGGUCUUCCUCUUGCUCUGACAUGUCGAUGAACUCCCACUCCUUGCUACUGACAUCUGCAGAACAAAGACACAAAGUUCAUGAGAUAUCAAGCAAGAAGAGGAAUGAAGACAGCAUGAGACCUUCGAGUUCACGGUAGAUGGUUUCCUGCUGCAGUCUGCAGCUGCGCUUGCCCAUGGAUUUAGGGAAGGAAGAUUGGUCUGCCAAGAAGAAGAAGAAGCAAAGCAGGAGAAAGAGAAGUAAGAUGGCUGGGACUUGGUGCCUUCAUAUGCUCAGAGAGUGUUGUAGGCAUAAACUUCCGAGUUCCAGGGGGCCAUGGUGAUUACAGAUUGCAGAUCGCAGAUUGCAGAUUGCAGAGGUAGGAAAUGGUGGAGGAAGGGAUACAGUUCCAUCUCGCCAUGUCUAUUAAGAAAGCAGC
Musa acuminata AAA Group (dessert banana) is the source of this 1438-nucleotide long non-coding RNA. RefSeq lists it as uncharacterized. The transcript is spliced from 3 exons. The record is from RefSeq and is a predicted model, not a curated record. NCBI's taxonomy places the organism in Eukaryota, Viridiplantae, Streptophyta, Magnoliopsida, Zingiberales, Musaceae.